GUUUAGGCCGCCACAUUUAUGACCUCAUUUAACCUUAAUUACCAGCCCAACAUUUCUGUCCCUAAGUAUGUCAUUUCUUUGGGAGUUAGGGCUUCAACAUAGGACUUUGAGGGGGACACAGUUGAGUCUGUAACACUGCCCUCCUUCAAGGUAAACAAUGUCAGGUAUCAGUGGGGUUAAAUUUGUCAUCACUUUAAUUGAUUGCAACUUCAACCUAUGUUUAUUCCCAGUUUUUAUAUUUUCUUUGUUUAGCCUGCAUUUCCAUUCACUACUUAAAUCAACUUCAGGGGAUGUGAUUUAUCGAUUAGUCUCGCUUUGCCCCAAUUGUCGAGUUUUUGCUUUGCUCUGAAUCCGGUGUCCUUUAUUUUUAUUAAAAAAAAAAACAACAGGUCAGUAUGGAAUCCCCUGUCCCCAUUAAACACUUUGUACUCACUGUCCUGUCUGGCCCUCAUCUCCUCUAUCUUCUCUGUAGUUGCACAGAUAUAAACACACACACGCACCUACACACAUGCAUGCGCACACACACAUUCUUCACAUGGCUGCUUUCUUCUAAUCAUUUGAGUUUCUCUUAAAAAGCUUCACUGAGCCCUUGACCAACUACCAUAUCUGCAGAAGUCUGUCACAUCGCAUCACCUGCUUUCUUUUCUUUCCGACUCCUAGGACUGCUGCCAUUUUGUAGAUGGGUAAACUGAGGCUGGAGAACACAAGGGAUUUGUUCACAGUUGCUCAGGUUCUGAGGAGGCCAAAGUGGCAGAGGGUGGGGCUCUGGAGGUAAACCUACUAUCACAAAACAUCUCUCCCAGUCCUCCCCAGUAAACAACAAGACAGAAGUCAUUGGCUUUUAACACUUCAAGGUCUUUUCAAAGUGGCCCUUGCUCCUUUCUUCUUUCUGUCCUAUUGCCUUGAUAAAAUUGUCUAGCAGAGUGAAGGGACAAGCAUGGCAGGGCACAUUUGGCCUUGUAUAGGCCUGCCAGAUUUAGCAAAUAAAAAUAUAUAAGCACGUUUCAGAUAACUAACAAUUUUUUUUUUUUUGAGAGUAAGUAUGUCCCAUGUAAUGUUUGGAAUAUACUUAUGCUAAAACAUGUGUUUCAUCUGAAAAAUUCAUAUUUAAAGGGACAUCCUGUAUUUAUCCGGCUCUAUAACUAUGCAUAUAUGGAUGAUGGUUCUAAGCCUCUAGUGAGUAUGCUUGGGAAAGAAAACAGGCAAAAAAAAAAAAAAAAAAAUUGCUUGGAGCUCUGUUGUUUUAUUUACUUUAGUAACACUUUGAUGUUUUUUGACAAUAAAAACAACAACUCAGAUAUUCCCAAAUGCAUGUAUAUUUUAUUUUGGAAAAUUUGACUUAUAGCUUUAUCACCUCAGUUCCUUUGAUUUCUUUUGUGAAUUCGCAGCACUUAAUAUCUAGCACCAAAGGAGCUAGAAAACUGCAUGGGUUCAUCAAUGAUGAAUUCGUGUUUGGGCAAAGUUGGGCAGACUAUUUCACCUCUCUUUUUGCUUUAUUUUCUUCCUUUGCAAAAUGGAGAUAAUAAUAGCACCUCUCUUAGGAGGUUGUUGUGAGGGGUAAACAAGAAAAUGUAUGUGAAGGUGGCUAGUUCAGUACUUACAUUUAGGAGACACUCAAUACACAUUCGCUGCAUUUUUCUUGCCUUACCAUUCCAUUUCUGAGAGUGAACAGCAUCACUUUCUCAGACCAUGGCAAAAUAUUAGACUAAAGAAAUUACACAGUUAUGUCUCAAAGAAAUUUUUGUUCUUGCUUACCGAUAACCAGGUAACCAGCAGAGCCAAAGCAAUUGAUUGAUUCAUUCAACCACGUAUAUAUUGAGAACCUAACAUGUGCCAGGCAUAGUGUUCUAGGAGCUGGGGAGACUUGGUAAACUGAGCAAACUUCCUAUUUUCCUAUGAGAAUUGCUUUAUAUUACAGUGAGGGGGCAGGUAAUAAAUGGACAGCUAGAAAGGAGUAUUGUACUAUAUCAUAUUUUACUUGGAGCUGUCAAUUAUGGCAAAUGUUGUGAAACUGAGUACUUGAAUUUGGUUAUGUGAAAAUCACUGGUGACCUUGAUGACAACUUUUUGUUCCCUAAAAGUUGUUUAAGAGAAUGGGGGGAGGAGGAGGAAGUUGAGAAAGGAACUUCACUAAAAAGUGAGCAGGAAAAAUUUGAGUGGCAGUUAAGAAGGGAUAUGGAGUUAAAAAUUUUUUUUUUGAUGAGGGUUAUGACAGCAUAUUUAAGCUGCAAGGAGUGACCAAGUAGAGAGGAACUGAUAAUGAGAAGGCAGAGGACAACUCUAGGAACGAGUGCUUGACAAUGCCAUGAGGCCAAGACUCCAACAGACAAGAGGAUUUGGGCUUAGACUGCCACCAGGACCUUUUGCUCACUGCAGAAAGAGGGGCGACCAAAUAUAUGAGGUAGAGGGUGUGGGGCCUUAGUUUGGCAAUAGGAUGAUAUGGCAGUAGUUCUACCUUCUCAGAGAAAAAAGACAUAAAAUAUUUUCACUUCUCUCAUCAAUAAUUAUUGAUUAAGUUAAAGUAAUUAUUGAUGUUAAGAAAUGUUGGCUUCCUCAUUUGUAUUGGGCUCUUCCCAAGCACCCCCAAAUAUCUGGGAUAAACACCAUGAUCCCCCCACCCCUCCUGUGCACAGGGGAUUGAGACUUAAUUUAUUCACAGACAGCUCUUUUCAGCCCCCUGUGCUGUUCCCAGGCUUCAGGGCUGGUAUUUUAAUGUUUUUCACCCAUCACGUUUCUCUCCAUUGAGAUAAACUUCUUCCAGAGAAGCUGCCCAUCUUGACAAGUCUGUUUCGCGUCUGUGCUCCACUGCACAGCCAGACCUGAAAGUGACGGGAACUGACAAACUCUCUGAACUUGUCCCAUUGGAUUUGUCUAAUGGGCCUUUCCCUGACAUAGAUGAAAAAGUCAUUGACAGAAACAGACCAUUUACCAUGAACCUGAGCAGAGGUAUAAACAGUGACAGAUGAAAUAGGCCUCGCAAUAAAGCUGGGAAAUUCAGGACACAUAUGAUGGGCUCAAGGAGAUCUCUGCUUUCAAAUGCCAUGAUGAAAUGGAUGGCAUCAGGUUUGCAGCCCCAAGUGAUCUGGCUGGUUAGUAAGAAAGCCAGCCCCCUCACCACUCCCCAGCUCUCUCUCUAACUAUACCAGAGAGAAAAGCUGCUAGGUGGUGACGUGGGGUCAGGGGUGGCCUUCAACAGGACACCCCAGGCUUGAGGGGCCGCGUUCUCUUUCCAAGGAUAGUAAGAACAAAAAUAAAUAAAUAAGCCCACCAUUUGAAUAUUUGCAAAAAGC
This 3289-nucleotide long non-coding RNA is filed under the name Sus scrofa (pig). RNAcentral's name for it is "lncRNA (ENSSSCG00000056980.1)". The stretch from base 1029 to 1080 matches the Rfam family "mir-1302 microRNA precursor family". Lineage: Eukaryota; Metazoa; Chordata; Mammalia; Artiodactyla; Suidae. The record is from RNAcentral.